RNAcentral lists this ribosomal RNA (492 nucleotides) under uncultured bacterium. RNAcentral's name for it is "partial 16S ribosomal RNA". It matches the Rfam family "Bacterial small subunit ribosomal RNA", at positions 29 to 507 of the family's 1533-position model. The record is from RNAcentral.
AGUGAGCGCUGGCGGUAGGCCUAACACAUGCAAGUCGAACGGCAGCACAGUAAGAGCUUGCUCUUACGGGUGGCGAGUGGCGGACGGGUGAGGAAUACAUCGGAAUCUACUUUUUCGUGGGGGAUAACGUAGGGAAACUUACGCUAAUACCGCAUACGACCUACGGGUGAAAGCAGGGGAUCUUCGGACCUUGCGCGAUUGAAUGAGCCGAUGUCGGAUUAGCUAGUUGGCGGGGUAAAGGCCCACCAAGGCGACGAUCCGUAGCUGGUCUGAGAGGAUGAUCAGCCACACUGGAACUGAGACACGGUCCAGACUCCUACGGGAGGCAGCAGUGGGGAAUAUUGGACAAUGGGCGCAAGCCUGAUCCAGCCAUACCGCGUGGGUGAAGAAGGCCUUCGGGUUGUAAAGCCCUUUUGUUGGGAAAGAAAAGCAGCAGGUUAAUACCCCGCUGUUCUGACUGUACCCAAAGAAUAAGCACCGGCUAACUUCGUG